CCUUGGUGCAGGCAGGGGGCGCAUCCCCGAAGUACUUGGCAAUGGCAGCAUGGCGGCACCUGGCGGAGGCAGCACAGCAGAGGUCGGAGUGAGGGACCCAGGCAGGCCAGCGCUCAUCCCUCACUCCCUACACUCUGGCUGAUGAGCCCUACGUGUGGGUUCCACACUCAGUAUCUCACACACCUCAUGCUGUCCGAGCCUGGAAAGGCAUCAUUUGGUCACCCAUUUUACAGAUGACAAGAAUGAGAUGAAGGAGCUUUCUCAAGGUCACAGAACAUACCCAGUGGAGCCAGGGUGUGGUCUCUAUUCUGUCCUGCUUUGCUACAGGUUGCUCCUCUAGGUCCUGGCCUCCUGGCCUCCUGCCCUCUACCGUGCCCUCUGGCGGCGGGGUGCCCCAGAAGCAGCUUCAGCCCUGGGUACAGACGCUGACUCUGCUGCUGAGGCCUCCUCUUUAGGGGAAGCACUGGAUGGCUCAAAGCCCACACAUUCUGGCCUGUCGAACGGUGCAGGAAGAGCACUGGCUCCCCUGGCCGAGCAGGACUGGGGGAGAUGGUGCCCCGAGGCACCAUGUACGGCACCUGGCGCACGGUGAGCCCUCUUUAUGACUCUUUCCCGGAGGCGGGGGACGGAGGUGGCCCUACCCCCGCCUCGGCACUCUGCCCUGCUUCUAUCUCUUGUGGACCUUCUUUGUCCCCAAGAAGACUGCCCGCAUAUGUAGCCCAGAGCUGGGGGACUGCCUGAGAGCAGAAACCAGCAGCUCUGCGAGCUGGCACUGUACACUGCUCACUGGUGAGGGCAGUGGGGAGACCAGCCCGGGAAGGAGUCUCAUCCCAUCUUCCGGGGCCUCAACCCUGCCACAGCCCCCUUGCUGCGGUCCAUACCAGACUGCAGCUGUCUCUCUUACGACUCCCAGGAUGGGGGCACAGUUGGUCCCUGGGGCAGCUGCAGAGGCCCCUGGAGGAGCCACAAAUCUCCCAGGACCCUUGCCAAGGGCCAGUCCUGCCACGGGAAUGUGGCACAGGGUAGGGGAGCCUGAGAGACAGGGCGGCAGAGGCAGGGCUGUCCAGGCGCCACAUCCUGGGGACGAGAAUAGGGGGUGUCACUCUCUAAGCAGAAUGCCGCUCAACGUGAGCACCGCCUAGAACUUCAAGAAACACUUUGACGAGCUGAGGCCCUGAGGGGCAGGAACCAAAGCAAGAGCGGAUGGUUCCACAGGCCCUAGGAAGUGGGUCUGGCUGCCUUGUUUGAGAAUGCAGCUUCCAGUGGCAGGGGACGGCACAGGGGCCCGGGCGACCACCAGAGGGCACUGUUCUGGCCGCUCCUAAAUCACCGAGGGACUCCCUCCAUGGCCAGUCUGUGCAUCUGCACAGUGGCCGCCUGUCCAGCCUCUGGCAUCCAAGUGGUGUGGCUACACGGUCGGCUUCCUUCCCCCCCCCCUCCCUCAAGCCCAGACUCACUGGGGUUUUGUGCUCACACUCAAAGGGCCCCAUUGAGAGCGCACAGAUGCGGGCUGGGGUCGGCUCCUGUCCCGCUCCAGGCACAGCCCGGGCUGCUGGGGUGGCACAACCAACCAAAUGUCAAAGGGCCCUGCCAGCCACUGAGCUCCGGAGCCCGGCUCUGCUGGCCGGGGCCAGGCAUGCAGAGACAGCCCCGGCCAACACCAGCAAACACGCUUCGGAAAGACAUCAGCAGGGUCCUCCCUCCUCCCGGGGCUGGGGAACACCAGGCACCAGGCACCUCCCCCUGCACCCCCAGGCAAGCAGGCUACUCUCAAGUCACCCCCAAGUUCUCUCCCAAGAUGCCUCCCCAGAGGGCUGGAUUUGUGGGUGGGCCGGCGGCUCCCCCACUCUUCACUUUCUUUCUUGGAAGGGGCCAAAGGGUGGGACCAGCUGGGGAGUCGCCAGAGGGGGGGUUGGGGGGAUGGAGCCAAAGUACUCCUGAGGGGAGGGAGGGGGCCCAAGAGCUGGGAGCGCUGUGGGGUCUCCCCCCCAACUCAGCCGCUCAGGUGAAGCCUCCCAGAGGGCAUCUCUGCCAGGGAACAAGAGAGCCGACCUCCUCUUUUAUCACCUCCCAGCCCAGGCCCAGCCCACGUUGGCUCAGCACACACCCGCCAGGAGGGAGAGAGAGGAAGAGGAGGAACAGAAGAGGCGGCUCUAACCCAGCCAGACCUCCCAGGGGCAGGGCAGCGCCAGCCAUCCCCCCAAGGGCCCAGCAGGGAUUCCCCCGCCUGGGCAGGGGCAGAGGUGGCACUGCCUCCCUCACUUUGGUGGCCGCCCCGUGUAAUUUGACACUUGGAUCUCCAGGACGACCAACAACAGAAAAGCUGAAGCCGAGACAGCAGCUGGCUGUCACCAGCCAGGAGUUCCACACGCUCUGAGGAAGGCGCCCAGCAGCGGGUCAGGAAAGAGGCAUUUGAGAAGGAAGGAAGAGGUGGUGGCUGGGCUGAGGACAGGCCCAGGAGGCUGCUGGGCUCCCCGGGAUCUGAGUUCCUAGGUGAGUGGUGCCAGCCAUGGAUGAGAGGAGUGGGGGUGCGGGGCCAGGGUCUCCUGCCCCGAGGGUGGAGAGCCACCGUCUACCGUGAACAGAGAGGCUCACGGGGGUACUACAUGGUCAUGGUCUCUGGACAGCCUGUUUAAACGUGGGCUCUCCCUUCUACUGCUGGCAGCCCGGCACGGCAGGGACACGGGCCGAGGCUGCAGCUCUCUGCUCCAAGGGCUUUCCUCCCUGCUUGCUAAGCAGGCAGAGGGGCCCCGAGUGCUUGCUUACUCGGCAAGUUAGUUUAAGCCUGUUCUAUUCAGGGGGCUUAAACAGGGGAUUUGGCUGUCCUGGCUCUGGAGAGGACGGCUGCCUGCUCACGGAGCCUCCCUUUUCCCCAGGAUCAAUGCAGAGCCCUGGGUGUGCCUGCUUUCUCCCCGUGGAGGUGGCUCGGGGCAGAGUCUGCCCCUCCAGUUCGUGCCCCCCAGGAUGUGGUGGGACCCGCAGCAGCUCUGCCCAUCUGUGUCCUGCAUCAGCGUGGCAGCCGCCACCUCUUGUGAGGGGCUUGGCCCGCUCACUGCCAGGUGUUCUCAGCUCAGAGUUAAAGCCGGGUACUCCUCCCUGGGCCCAACUGGAAUCCCGUGAGCUCCCAAACCUUUGUGAAUGCUGCACCGGAAGCACGAGGGCCUGACUCUAAACCCAGGGUGGGUGGGACGAGGGCAAUGGUGUUGAGGCCGGUGGAGGACCCGCCUGGCAUUCGGCCCUCUGCCGUGUCACUGGAACGCUGAGCCCAAAAUGGCUCUUCGAGCAGCACCAGGAGCAGCCCCCUUGGGCAGGGCCCCAUGAACCGAGGCUGCUCGUUCUUCCGGCCUCCCUGUCCCCACGCUAGGGUUAUAGUCUCUCUUCCCCGCCCCCCAGAUGUUUCCCCCAAAGCAAACAGGCUAGUAUCUACUUAGAAAGAAAAACAACAAUCCAGGGAAAAGUGGAAAUCAAGGAUCAGUCCAAGUGUUCUUGGCUCUUCAGGGGCUGUGGGACUUGGCCUGGGUUGGCGGCUGAGGAGACUGAAAGCCCUGCGCCGAUGGGCCAGGCAUGGCAGAGAGGGGCCAAGCGCCAGUUCUGUGCUGGAGGCAGUGGGCAGGGCUGGGAAAGGGGAGGGCGCAGUGGUGCGCCUGGGGCUACCCCUGCUGGCUGGGGUGUGUAAGGCAGGUGGGUGGGGAGCAGAGUCCCUGCAGCCGCAGGACAUGGGUGGUCGGGGUCCCCUGCACACAGGCGCUGAGCUGAAAUAGGAGGGUGAUGCCUAGCUCCUUGGUCUGGGGGUACCACCACCAGCAGCAGGAAGGCCUCCUCUAGUCCUCGAAAACCCACGAGGUUAGGGAAGCAGGACUACUCUGGGUUCAAAUGUCUACUCCCCACAGCAACUUGGAGCCAAGGCAGAAAAGGGCAUCGUCUGAAGGCUUGACGCAGUGACCAGUGGACACCUCCGCCUUCGUGGUCAGGCCUCUGGACCCUGCAAAUCUGCCACAACCAUGGGUUUGCCUCAUCAGGGCUGUUUCCCAACAAAACAGGGCCCGGUGGGGCAAGAGUGGCUAUAAGCCACCACGACAAAAUGACAGGGGCCCAGAGCUGUCAGUACGCCACUUAUCAGUCACGCCCAGGCCGGUCUGCUGCCUGCUCUCCUUCACAACGGGCCUCUGGGGUUGGAGUAUCGGUUUUGCCAGGAGGAAGCAGGGAAGCUUCAGUACCCAGUGGCAGCUGUCAAGCCUGCAGGAUGCCUGCCUGCUCUGUCACAGGUCCUCUGUGCCAGAAGAUGCCACACAAAGGAACGUUUUCUGGUCCCUCCAGCUCUGCCCGCUGUCAGCUCUGCCCGCCUCACUUCUCCCUCCGUGCGCGCCCACUGCGGCCGUGGCGCACCCUCGAAGGGCCAUGCAGGCAGCCAAGGCUGCUCUCCCUUCCUGGGGCCGUGGGAACCACUUGCUGUGGCCGCCUCCAUCCAAGGCACUUCGGAGCACAGGGCUGGGAUGUACUCUGAUUUCCCUGGUUCGCUGGCAGGAAGCAGUUUGGGAAGGAGAAUGGAUGACCCUCCUAUCUUCUUGAGACAGACCAGAAAGAUACACGCGAUCAUCGGUACCUGCUCUGGGCUUCCCUGUCUUCCUCCCUCCAAACCUGUGAAAGUAAAAGGGACAAGCAGCAGCCAGCCUCAGAGCACCUCCAUUCCCCAGGUCACAGCUGGGAACACUUACAGACCGGGGCGCCCUACAGAGCAACGGCCGGGGAACAGACGGCAUGGUCACUUGACGACGGCUGGUUAUAUCAGGCACCAGGCAUCAGGCAGGCCCCAGCCUCGCUUUAAAUAGCCCACUGGGAAGAGUGCCUGUGACCUGCUGGAAUGUGCCUCCUCCCUCUUAUGAGAACAAGGUCCCUCCAGCUCCCACGGUCCCCAGUAAGGUUUAUUCUGCUCAAGACCAGGGUGGAAAUGGCAGCACGUCCACUGGAAAAACAAAGGGGGUUCCCUGUCAGUCUUUGGGGCAGAACCUCAGGUGUCCAGUGGCCCCGUUCCCAAUCACAGCCCAGAAAGAAUCAGGGCGCAGCCCGGGGCGAGACCCUAGGGGCUGGUACGGCUUGUUAAAUCAGCUCACCAGAGGCCCUGGGCACAAAGACACAAUGCCAUCCCCAGCCCCAGCCACGGCCUCCCCCGGGUGUGGACCGGCAUUCCUCCCGGAGCAGCGCAGGUCCCCUGGGUCAGACGCUGCAGCAUCCUGACGUCACAACGCUCGGAAGACGUCCAACUUCAGAGCUGAAGCUUCUGACCAGCGAAGCCCACCUUUCUGCACAGCAGAGGCGCCUUGGCCCAACCUGGGUCCUCGCUGCUCUGGAGAUCACACCCCAGACCGGCGGGGUUCCACGUUCCGUCUUGCUCACAAGCGGAGGCUUCCCCCUCCACAACCCCUCCCCGGGUCUUUGGACCUGGAAACCCGAGUGAAAGCGCCGCCCUGGCCCAGCUGGCCUCCACCUGCUUCCUCUUUCAAGGAGUCUCUGAUGGCUACAUUAGGCAAUGCAGGCGCGAGGCCAAUCAGGCUGAAGGAGCCAGACCACACGGAGACGAAGAGGGGAGGAGAAAUGGUGCCCAAGUCCUGAGCCCUGUGCGAAGUCUCCUCCGGGGCUUUGCCCCGCACCUCCGUUCCCUCCUCUAGGAAUGAGACCAGCCGGCAGGCUGCUGCACUCCUGGGAACACGGGAACUGGGGAUAUCCAGAGAGGCUCCAGAAUGAGACCACCACCCUCCUGAUGCAAACCCACUUCCCUGAAACAUGCUGACCCCGGGGUGGGGCAUAAGAGAAGACAGAAGGAUCUAACUCCAGAAGCCGCCCACUUCUGAUAGGAAACCCGCUAAUCCCCCAGUGACCCACCGGCUGCCCGCUACCCUCGAGGGGACUUACACCACAGCUCCUGGCUCCAGCCUGCCCCACCGCCUGCCUUCACCUCACACACCAGACAUCCUAGGAAUGCGGGACACAGAGGAAGGUCCCCAGACAGAUGCCCUACCUGCCAGGAUACAAGGGGGUACGACUGCCCCCAAAGGCUUCCUCGAUGCUCCGAUGGUGGCCAAACCCCCUACCUGAGGGGAAUCACAUGUGUGGGGCCCCCAUGUGUGCCAGGACCUGCACUGGCCGCCGCUGUGCUCCCAGGAAUCAAUCCAACAGCCUUGAAAGAUGGACAUCUCCUCUCACGUAAAAUGAGGAAAAGAAACAGACUCAGAGAGACAGAGACGUGUCCAUGUCACAGAAGCAGGAAGGAGUCAGCUGGCAUCAGAACAACGUUCCCUGUGGGGCAGCUGACCAAAUGAGGACAGUUACCCUGCGGAAGAGGGGACGUGGGAUACACCUGCCAGCUGCCAUCCAGGACCCGAAGGCCCACGAGGCAGAAGAGGGGUACAAGUGUCCUAUGUGAACACAGGCGGGACCAGCAAGGUCAGGAGGAGGUCCCGCCUUCCAAAGAUCAGCACUGUUCCAAGAGGGAAGAGGGCACGCUGUCAUAGCAAGUGGGACCCCCCCGCCGCCCCAUCUCACCGAGAGGGGCUCGGGCUCAGGCGAAGGCUGUAGGCCAGAAGGAGUGCACGGGGCCAGGAACGGGGUAGAGACUUCAAGCAGAAGACCUUCAAGGCAGUUCUAAGACGGCUCUACUGUGACGGAAGUCCCAGCAGUGACCAGCUUCCAAGACUGCAGCCAUCUGAGGAGAACCACCUGGCCAUAGCCCAGGACGAAGUGACAGUAAUUAGAUCUACAGGUCUGGCAUGAGCCCCUGACACCUGUUACCCUCUCUGGGAUCAGAGCCGCCUUAGGUGAACAAGUUCAGGCUGGUUGGCACAGGCUGUCCCUGGUCCAUAUCUGAAGAGCUACUGGGUCCCUCAUGUCCACUGAAGGGGAAAGACACUGAGGUAGAGUGUGCUCCCACUCAGGCUCAGCCUGGACCUUGCCCUGCACCCUGCCGGCACCCUUAUGAAAAGGCUCUCAGGGGGCCAGAGGGCUGAGUUGCCACAUACCUGGGGCAGGGGGUGGGGCAGAGGGGACUCUCCUGGUUUGAGCCAGCAGGGGAGGGGCUGGUAAACCAGCACUGGGACGCCUGAUCGCAUCCUGAGAGGACCCCCUUGGGUAAACCUGCAAGGACACAAUGUCAUCUCUUCCUCCUCAAAGAACACCUAUAAGUAAAGAAAUGGGGCUGGUGGGAGAGGCAGGGGGCCCCAAAGGGGCUCAGACCAUCUCCCCGUUAGCGCUGACCCUAGCUAAAAGCCCCCAUGUGCCUGCUCCAGGAACCUGCUCCUUCUGCCCCACAUAUGACAGGACCAAGAGCUCCAGGCUGGAAUCCCAAAGCCCAGUCUCCCCACUGAGAACCCAGGCAAGGCACCUGAAGUCCUGAAGGACCCAGGGGUCAUCAGGGGAGCUACGCCAGCCCAAGGCCCCCCCAGCAAAACCAGGAGUGGUGCCUGAGACAAAAGAAUGUAACCGUGAAGUCACCCCACCUCCAAGUCAGGAACCCUGGCCAACCGUGGCGAGCGGACAGACUGCCCCUGUGUCUGGCUGAGCCCGGCAGCCCCCACGGCAGGGCCUCAGGCUGCCUGCCGUCACCAGCUUCUCCCACCACAGGUGGUAUCAGCUGGGUGGGGGCUGAGGGCCAUUGCUGGGUCUGGGCGGAGGGCCCCAAAGGCUCCCUCCCUGCUCAGGAGCCGCAGGGGUGCAGGGGUGAGACCUGACUAACUCGUUCUGCGGGCUGCAGGUGGGUGGGGACCCCGUCACUGCUCAGCACGCCCGACAGGCGCCCAGCAGGAGCCAGCAGGAGCCCGCAGGA
This is an RNA transcript of Mustela erminea (ermine), 7816 nucleotides long. It is a transcript of the gene named small integral membrane protein 5, with no coding region annotated. The record is from RefSeq and is a predicted model, not a curated record. NCBI's taxonomy places the organism in Eukaryota, Metazoa, Chordata, Mammalia, Carnivora, Mustelidae. The transcript has 2 exons.